This 826-nucleotide ribosomal RNA is filed under the name Niesslia mucida. Its description in RNAcentral is "partial large subunit ribosomal RNA". It matches the Rfam family "Eukaryotic large subunit ribosomal RNA", at positions 67 to 923 of the family's 3401-position model. Lineage: Eukaryota; Fungi; Ascomycota; Sordariomycetes; Hypocreales; Niessliaceae. The record is from RNAcentral.
AACAGGGGAUUGCCCCAGUAACGGCGAGUGAAGCGGCAACAGCUCAAAUUUGAAAUCUGGUCCCCMGGGCCCSRRKUUGUAAUUUGUAGAGGAUGCUUUUGGCGAGGUGCCUUCCGAGUUCCCUGGAACGGGACGCCAUAGAGGGUGAGAGCCCCGUCUGGUUGGAUACCAAGCCUCUGUAAAGCUCCUUCGACGAGUCGAGUAGUUUGGGAAUGCUGCUCUAAAUGGGAGGUAUAUGUCUUCUAAAGCUAAAUACCGGCCAGAGACCGAUAGCGCACAAGUAGAGUGAUCGAAAGAUGAAAAGCACUUUGAAAAGAGGGUUAAAUAGUACGUGAAAUUGUUGAAAGGGAAGCGUUUGUGACCAGACUUGGGCCCGGUUAAUCAUCCAGCGUUCUCGCUGGUGCACUUUGCCGGCCCAGGCCAGCAUCAGUUCGCGCCGGGGGAUAAAGGCUUCGGGAAUGUGGCUCCUCCGGGAGUGUUAUAGCCCGCUGCGUAAUACCCUGGUGCGGACUGAGGUUCGCGCUCCGCAAGGAUGCUGGCGUAAUGGUCAUCAGCGACCCGUCUUGAAACACGGACCAAGGAGUCGUCUUCGUAUGCGAGUGUUCGGGUGUCAAACCCCUACGCGUAAUGAAAGUGAACGUAGGUGAGAGCUUCGGCGCAUCAUCGACCGAUCCUGAUGUUCUCGGAUGGAUUUGAGUAAGAGCAUACGGGGCCGGACCCGAAAGAAGGUGAACUAUGCCUGUAUAGGGUGAAGCCAGAGGAAACUCUGGUGGAGGCUCGCAGCGGUUCUGACGUGCAAAUCGAUCGUCAAAUAUGGGCAUGGGGG